AGUGAACGCUGGCGGUAGGCCUAACACAUGCAAGUCGAACGGCAGCACAGUAAGAGCUUGCUCUUACGGGUGGCGAGUGGCGGACGGGUGAGGAGUACAUCGGAAUCUACUUUUUCGUGGGGGAUAACGUAGGGAAACUUACGCUAAUACCGCAUACGACCUACGGGUGAAAGCAGGGGAUCUUCGGACCUUGCGCGAUUGAAUGAGCCGAUGUCGGAUUAGCUAGUUGGCGGGGUAAAGGCCCACCAAGGCGACGAUCCGUAGCUGGUCUGAGAGGAUGAUCAGCCACACUGGAACUGAGACACGGUCCAGACUCCUACGGGAGGCAGCAGUGGGGAAUAUUGGACAAUGGGCGCAAGCCUGAUCCAGCCAUACCGCGUGGGUGAAGAAGGCCUUCGGGUUGUAAAGCCCUUUUGCUGGGAAAGAAAAGCAGCAGGUUAAUACCCCGCUGUUCUGACGGUACCCAAAGAAUAAGCACCGGCUAACUUCGUG
Molecule: ribosomal RNA, 492 nt
Filed under: uncultured bacterium
Lineage: Bacteria
Description: partial 16S ribosomal RNA
Rfam family: Bacterial small subunit ribosomal RNA
Source: RNAcentral